Molecule: long non-coding RNA, 537 nt
Filed under: Gossypium barbadense (sea-island cotton)
Lineage: Eukaryota; Viridiplantae; Streptophyta; Magnoliopsida; Malvales; Malvaceae
Description: long non-coding RNA (GBAR_LNC013796)
Source: RNAcentral
UUAGCAAUGUUCAUAAUUUGCAAAAUUUAAAGGUGUCAGACCUAAUCGAUGCAAAUCUAAGAACAUGGAAACAGGAGAUGAUUCUUAAUACCAUCUCGCCAAUGGACGCCAAAAGAAUCCUUUGUAUCCUACUGGCAAUAGAGGCCCAUAAGGUAUUGUUGCGAGAAAUGCUGAGGGGAAAUGUUGAUUUCAAAAUUAGAUACAAACGGGGUUAGAAGAAAGAUGGCCGGAGGUAAUAGUUGAGGGAGAUGUAUUAUCCAUUAUAAAGAAGAGUCAAUCACAAUAUCCGAAUAAAUCACAAAUAGGAACUUAUAUUCAGAAUAUUCAAUGGUUUAGCCCAUGUUUUUUGCAACAGAAACUUUGAGAGGGGGCGAGGAGUUUUACCUAGUGUAGAGUAUUCGUUCAUUUGUGGUGCGCCGUUUUACUGCAGAGAGGGUGGGGGAACUAGACUAAAGAAUGGCGAAAUAUUUAACAGGUUUUGGGAGGAAGCUGUACUUUAUUUGUUUUGGGGAAGAUAGAGGCUUUAUCUAAUGAAUG